RNAcentral lists this ribosomal RNA (206 nucleotides) under uncultured delta proteobacterium. RNAcentral describes it as "partial 16S ribosomal RNA". It matches the Rfam family "Bacterial small subunit ribosomal RNA", at positions 568 to 774 of the family's 1533-position model. The record is from RNAcentral. Lineage: Bacteria; Deltaproteobacteria.
CGUGUAGGCGGUUUGUUAAGUCUGAUGUGAAAGCCCCGGGCUCAACCUGGGAAGUGCAUUGGAAACUGGCAGACUGAAUACGGGAGAGGGUAGUGGAAUUCCUAGUGUAGGAGUGAAAUCCGUAGAUAUUAGGAGGAACACCGGUGGCGAAGGCGGCUACCUGGACCGAUAUUGACGCUGAGACGCGAAAGCGUGGGGAGCAAACA